UCUCACAUCCAGGCUAGGACAGAUCCUCCUCUCCGAACACCCAACCCCAGGACCCUCCCCACCUUCUCUCUGAGCUCAGCUCCAGCCCCUUCCUUGGGGUGGAGGGGGAAAGAGGAGGUGGCUUAAUUAUAGAAUCCUAGAAACUCAGGCCCCCAGAGCUGAGCCAGAACUUAGAAACCAGAACCCCCUCCUUUUGCAACAGGAGGUGCAGAGAAGGAAGGGACUUAACCAGGGUGGCACAGCAAGGAGGCAGCUGAACUAGAACAUGCCGUUCUGUUUUCCCAUAGAAGUUGGAGUUGAUGUGUUGCCUUGAAGGGCUGAUAGAAAACCAUGGAGCUGCUCCCUCUAAGGACUUGAUCCUGUAUGAAUCCUUACCCACCCAGUUUAUAGGUGAAUAAACUGAGGCCCUGAGAGGUUACGUCUAACACUCGUGUUUUUAUAACUGCUCUGAAAAUACCUGUUGAACGGAUGGAUCUCAAAGAGCAGAGACCACCUUUUACUCUCUUCAUGCUCCCUUUUCUCCAACCAGGAACUGAGGCCUGGUUUUUUUCAGAGUUCUUCCUGGAAGAGGGGAUGAGGGCAAUUUGGGGUCAUGUGGCUAGAGAAAGAGGAGAUAAGAGAGGGAAUGAAUGCCAAAGUGCUGAUCCCACUGACCCCCUAGCUUGGGUCGGAGGCUGCAUAGUCAGAGGCAUAAAUGUGAACAAUGCAGAUCCCUGCCCAGUCCUUCUCCGGGGGUGGAUUGAAAAAUGAAAGAAGCAAGGCCCCUCCUACGAGUACAUGUCUCGGAGCACACGUGGAAAUGCAGGUCUGCACAGACAGCUCCCUGGAGUGGCAGCUCCACAGAGGAUAAAAGCAUUCUUUAAAAACUGUCUGGUCGCUGUCCAAGCACCACAACUGAGAACGUUCUGUGGGGGGCAAAGGCAGAAGCCGGGGGACACGAGAGGAGGCUGCUGCAGUAACCCAGACUUCCAGGUGGAGAUGCUGACAGGCCAGUGGAUACGGCAGCUGGGGCUGAGGGAGCGAGCUGAGUGGCACCUACACACCGGGUGUAAUCAGCAAGCGGAUGGGAUUGCCCGUGGUCACCUAGCGAGUGAGUGUAGACAGAAAAGAGGAGUGACCCGGGACGAAGUUCUGGGACCCUCCAGCGUACGGGAGGAGCUGAGGUGGACACAGCAGAGGAGACUGAAGGAGCCACGAGAGGAGGAAACUGAGGCCCAGAAGAGGUUAGACCUUGCACCCAAGGUUGCACAGAUAAAGAGCAA
Long non-coding RNA from Eptesicus fuscus (big brown bat), 1262 nucleotides. RefSeq lists it as uncharacterized. Lineage: Eukaryota; Metazoa; Chordata; Mammalia; Chiroptera; Vespertilionidae. The record is from RefSeq and is a predicted model, not a curated record. The transcript has 4 exons.